Non-coding RNA from Sus scrofa (pig), 1975 nucleotides. NCBI's taxonomy places the organism in Eukaryota, Metazoa, Chordata, Mammalia, Artiodactyla, Suidae. The record is from RefSeq and is a predicted model, not a curated record.
CUUCACCCUCUCCCCCUCCGCCCCCUCUGUCUCUCUCAUUUCUCUUGGGGUUUCUUUUGGCUUUUGUGUUUGUUUCCUAUGCGUUGCCUCUUCCCGUAUUUCUCAUCUCGGAAAACAACCCUUUGGCCCAAAUACAUUUGGGUUGAUUUUGAGCCUCUGCCUCCUUCCUCCAAGCCAUUGGUCCAUCCCCGUUUUCCCUGGGUUCCUGCUCAUUCCCCGCGCCCCCCCUCCGGCCCCCAAGGCCUCCCUGCCCCUCCCCCACCCUCCCUCCCCUCCGCAGGCCUCAGCUUUCUCUUGACAGAUGGGAGGGCAGUGAGCACUCCCUCUUUAAAACAACAUUUAAUCGCCGUUUUCUGUUCUUGGACAUCAAAGCCGGGGCUUAGGCGCUGCGCUGGGGUCGCGGUGCGCGGGCUCUGGGGGAGAGGAGCUCCUACCAUCCCCGAAGGCUGGGUCGGAAACUGCUGUCAGCCAGUCCAAACCCCAGGGAUCCAUGGGGCCUCACCUUACACUGGGGGAGAUUCCAGCUCUUCAAAUGCUUUGCUACCUGGAAAGAAGCAGUCAUACCUGUGGCAUAUGGAAGUUCCAGAGCUAGGUGUCGGAUCAGAGCUACACAUCAGCAAAAGGUGUUUGCAAUAGGGAAACCAGUGUCCUCAGAAAUGUGAUCAGAUUUCUUCUCUGGACACUUUUUCUUGGCCAUACCGGUGGCGUGCAGAAGUUCCCAGGCCAGGGAUCGAACCUGUGCCACAACAGUGACAACAGUAGAUCCUUAACCCGCUGAGCUACCAGGGAACCUCUGGAUGCUUCUUUACAGUGGUCAAUUUGUGGGCUCCUGAUGGACAUCAGCUCUGGCCCCACCAUCUAUCAGCUCCUCUCCGCCAGUAAGUCUUUCGAGGAAAUCAUUGCCACUGACUACAUGGCCAGGAACUGCCAGGAGCUGGAGAAGUGGCUGAAAAAGGAGCCAGAGGCCUUUGAUGGAUCUCCACGGGUGAAAUACAUGGCACCACGUGGGUCCACCACAGCCCCUCCAUCCCCAAAUAUCACUCUCCCUAGUUAGGUAAGGUGGUCGCAGUUGUUAAAGUCUUACUCUUUUUGUUUAAGGCUGAUUUUUUUUUUUUUUAAGUACAAAAGUGGAGAGAGUAGUGCUAGUCCUGACUAAUUCUGCCGUGUGAAUGAGUCCCGCAUCCUGAGAGAAGCUAUAGCAUCUGCCAUCUGCCAGGCACUGAGGAUGAAAGAACAAGUAUGACACAAUUCUUGCCCUUGCUGGGCUCCCGGGCAGUUAUGACGGCUGUUACAGGAGAGGAGCGCACAGGAAGAAAUGCCUCAUUGCGGGAAUAAGGGAGGCCUGGCAAAGAGUCCCCCGCCCCCUCCACAGCAGCGGCUGAGGCCCAGGAAACCUAACCCACAUCUGCCUGCUUCCAGAUCCAGCUAGGGACUGGCCCAUAAAUAGCCAGGAUGACAGACCAAGGGAGAGGCACCCAGCUGGCCUCUGGAAGGGAGUUUUUCUGGGGCCUCUCCUGCAGUGAAAACCUCCCCGGAGUCCCUGAAGCUGUGCUGGAGGAUGAGUACAGUGGACAGGACGUGAGAUGGACUGCAUUUCUCAGGUCAUGUGACUGAAUUCUGGUCCAAGGAAUGUGCCUGCCUCAGUGUGUGGCUCGACAAACCGCCCAUGCUCUUCCCUAAGGGCUCUCUCUUCCCAACCCAGCUGGCUGGAUGCAGAGGAUCCAGCAGACGAUGCUGAGCUCCUAGGAGAUGGCGACAGAGCCACACAACGGAAGCCUGACAGCCUGGACCACCUCUCCCUAAACCGCACGGCACUGGACUAUGUUGUGAACCAAAAAAUAAGCCUUUGUUUUGUUAAGCCACUGAGAUUCGGGGUUUGUUAUUCAUACGCAGUGAUUCUUCCUCACCGAUACAAAUAUUUAGGUGUGCUCAAGGUCAUCCGAGAAAAGCAAAAUAAAAAAAGGAUACAACUUCA